GGUUAAGCGACUAAGCGUACACGGUGGAUGCCCUGGCAGUCAGAGGCGAUGAAGGACGUGCUAAUCUGCGAUAAGCGUCGGUAAGGUGAUAUGAACCGUUAUAACCGGCGAUUUCCGAAUGGGGAAACCCAGUGUGAUUCGUCACACUAUCAUUAACUAAAUCCAUAGGUUAAUGAGGCGAACCGGGGGAACUGAAACAUCUAAGUACCCCGAGGAAAAGAAAUCAACCGAGAUUCCCCCAGUAGCGGCGAGCGAACGGGGAGCAGCCCAGAGCCUGAAUCAGUGUGUGUGUUAGUGGAAGCGUCUGGAAAGGCGCGCGAUACAGGGUGACAGCCCCGUACACAAAAAUGCACAUGCUGUGAGCUCGAUGAGUAGGGCGGGACACGUGGUAUCCUGUCUGAAUAUGGGGGGACCAUCCUCCAAGGCUAAAUACUCCUGACUGACCGAUAGUGAACCAGUACCGUGAGGGAAAGGCGAAAAGAACCCCGGCGAGGGGAGUGAAAAAGAACCUGAAACCGUGUACGUACAAGCAGUGGGAGCACAGAGCAAUCUGUGUGACUGCGUACCUUUUGUAUAAUGGGUCAGCGACUUAUAUUCUGUAGCAAGGUUAACCGAAUAGGGGAGCCGAAGGGAAACCGAGUCUUAACUGGGCGUUAAGUUGCAGGGUAUAGACCCGAAACCCGGUGAUCUAGCCAUGGGCAGGUUGAAGGUUGGGUAACACUAACUGGAGGACCGAACCGACUAAUGUUGAAAAAUUAGCGGAUGACUUGUGGCUGGGGGUGAAAGGCCAAUCAAACCGGGAGAUAGCUGGUUCUCCCCGAAAGCUAUUUAGGUAGCGCCUCGUGAAUUCAUCUCCGGGGGUAGAGCACUGUUUCGGCAAGGGGGUCAUCCCGACUUACCAACCCGAUGCAAACUGCGAAUACCGGAGAAUGUUAUCACGGGAGACACACGGCGGGUGCUAACGUCCGUCGUGAAGAGGGAAACAACCCAGACCGCCAGCUAAGGUCCCAAAGUCAUGGUUAAGUGGGAAACGAUGUGGGAAGGCCCAGACAGCCAGGAUGUUGGCUUAGAAGCAGCCAUCAUUUAAAGAAAGCGUAAUAGCUCACUGGUCGAGUCGGCCUGCGCGGAAGAUGUAACGGGGCUAAACCAUGCACCGAAGCUGCGGCAGCGACGCUUAUGCGUUGUUGGGUAGGGGAGCGUUCUGUAAGCCUGUGAAGGUGUACUGUGAGGUAUGCUGGAGGUAUCAGAAGUGCGAAUGCUGACAUAAGUAACGAUAAAGCGGGUGAAAAGCCCGCUCGCCGGAAGACCAAGGGUUCCUGUCCAACGUUAAUCGGGGCAGGGUGAGUCGACCCCUAAGGCGAGGCCGAAAGGCGUAGUCGAUGGGAAACAGGUUAAUAUUCCUGUACUUGGUGUUACUGCGAAGGGGGGACGGAGAAGGCUAUGUUGGCCGGGCGACGGUUGUCCCGGUUUAAGCGUGUAGGCUGGUUUUCCAGGCAAAUCCGGAAAAUCAAGGCUGAGGCGUGAUGACGAGGCACUACGGUGCUGAAGCAACAAAUGCCCUGCUUCCAGGAAAAGCCUCUAAGCAUCAGGUAACAUCAAAUCGUACCCCAAACCGACACAGGUGGUCAGGUAGAGAAUACCAAGGCGCUUGAGAGAACUCGGGUGAAGGAACUAGGCAAAAUGGUGCCGUAACUUCGGGAGAAGGCACGCUGAUAUGUAGGUGAAGUCCCUCGCGGAUGGAGCUGAAAUCAGUCGAAGAUACCAGCUGGCUGCAACUGUUUAUUAAAAACACAGCACUGUGCAAACACGAAAGUGGACGUAUACGGUGUGACGCCUGCCCGGUGCCGGAAGGUUAAUUGAUGGGGUUAGCGCAAGCGAAGCUCUUGAUCGAAGCCCCGGUAAACGGCGGCCGUAACUAUAACGGUCCUAAGGUAGCGAAAUUCCUUGUCGGGUAAGUUCCGACCUGCACGAAUGGCGUAAUGAUGGCCAGGCUGUCUCCACCCGAGACUCAGUGAAAUUGAACUCGCUGUGAAGAUGCAGUGUACCCGCGGCAAGACGGAAAGACCCCGUGAACCUUUACUAUAGCUUGACACUGAACAUUGAGCCUUGAUGUGUAGGAUAGGUGGGAGGCUUUGAAGUGUGGACGCCAGUCUGCAUGGAGCCGACCUUGAAAUACCACCCUUUAAUGUUUGAUGUUCUAACGUUGACCCGUGAUCCGGGUUGCGGACAGUGUCUGGUGGGUAGUUUGACUGGGGCGGUCUCCUCCUAAAGAGUAACGGAGGAGCACGAAGGUUGGCUAAUCCUGGUCGGACAUCAGGAGGUUAGUGCAAUGGCAUAAGCCAGCUUGACUGCGAGCGUGACGGCGCGAGCAGGUGCGAAAGCAGGUCAUAGUGAUCCGGUGGUUCUGAAUGGAAGGGCCAUCGCUCAACGGAUAAAAGGUACUCCGGGGAUAACAGGCUGAUACCGCCCAAGAGUUCAUAUCGACGGCGGUGUUUGGCACCUCGAUGUCGGCUCAUCACAUCCUGGGGCUGAAGUAGGUCCCAAGGGUAUGGCUGUUCGCCAUUUAAAGUGGUACGCGAGCUGGGUUUAGAACGUCGUGAGACAGUUCGGUCCCUAUCUGCCGUGGGCGCUGGAGAAUUGAGGGGGGCUGCUCCUAGUACGAGAGGACCGGAGUGGACGCAUCACUGGUGUUCGGGUUGUCAUGCCAAUGGCACUGCCCGGUAGCUAAAUGCGGAAGAGAUAAGUGCUGAAAGCAUCUAAGCACGAAACUUGCCCCGAGAUGAGUUCUCCCUGACUCCUUGAGAGUCCUGAAGGAACGUUGAAGACGACGACGUUGAUAGGCCGGAUGUGUAAGCGCAGCGAUGCGUUGAGCUAACCGGUACUAAUGAACCGUGAGGCUUAACCUU
Molecule: ribosomal RNA, 2906 nt
Filed under: Escherichia coli
Lineage: Bacteria; Pseudomonadati; Pseudomonadota; Gammaproteobacteria; Enterobacterales; Enterobacteriaceae
Description: 23S ribosomal RNA
Rfam family: Bacterial large subunit ribosomal RNA
Source: RNAcentral